RNAcentral lists this ribosomal RNA (446 nucleotides) under uncultured bacterium. RNAcentral describes it as "partial 16S ribosomal RNA". It matches the Rfam family "Bacterial small subunit ribosomal RNA", at positions 354 to 797 of the family's 1533-position model. The record is from RNAcentral.
GUGAGGAAUAUUGCGCAAUGGAGGCAACUCUGACGCAGCCAUGCCGCGUGCAGGAAGAAGGCGCUACGCGUUGUAAACUGCUUUUAACCGGGAAGAAACCCCAGGACGUGUCCUGGGUUGACGGUACCGGAGGAAUAAGCACCGGCUAACUUCGUGCCAGCAGCCGCGGUAAUACGAAGGGUGCAAGCGUUAUCCGGAUUCAUUGGGUUUAAAGGGUGCGUAGGCGGAGCGUUAAGUCAGUGGUGAAAUCCUGCAGCUUAACUGUAGACUUGCCAUUGAUACUGGCGCUCUUGAGUGCGCUUGAAGUGGGCGGAAUGUGCCGUGUAGCGGUGAAAUGCUUAGAUAUGGCACAGAACACCAAUUGCGAAGGCAGCUCACUAAGGCGAUACUGACGCUGAGGCACGAAAGCGUGGGGAUCGAACAGGAUUAGAAACCCGAGUAGUCCC